CAUGAAUAUGAAGGGGAAAGGUGAAAAUAUGCUUUAAGAGCACCAAUUUAUAUGGUGUAGUAAAAGCUUCUUCUAUUAAAUACGAUGUGGCGACUGAAACUCUAAUUGAUGCUCCAUUUCGAAAAGGUGGCGAAAAAAAAAAAAAAAUUAGAUUAAUUGAUCGAAUUUGUGGACAGGAGCUGUUUGGAAUGAAG
Molecule: long non-coding RNA, 194 nt
Organism: Hydra vulgaris (swiftwater hydra)
Lineage: Eukaryota; Metazoa; Cnidaria; Hydrozoa; Anthoathecata; Hydridae
Source: RefSeq, a predicted model, not a curated record